UCCCUGGUGGCUCAGAAGGUAAAGCGUCUGCCUGGAAUGCGGGAGACCCGGGUUCGAUCCCCGUGUCAGGGAA
This is a non-coding RNA of Ovis aries (sheep), 73 nucleotides long. The record is from Rfam. NCBI's taxonomy places the organism in Eukaryota, Metazoa, Chordata, Mammalia, Artiodactyla, Bovidae.